UAAUUUAGUUAUUUUACGACU
RNAcentral lists this non-coding RNA (21 nucleotides) under Caenorhabditis elegans. Lineage: Eukaryota; Metazoa; Nematoda; Chromadorea; Rhabditida; Rhabditidae. The record is from RNAcentral.